This 218-nucleotide unclassified non-coding RNA is filed under the name uncultured Tomentella. Its description in RNAcentral is "sequence contains ITS2". Lineage: Eukaryota; Fungi; Basidiomycota; Agaricomycetes; Thelephorales; Thelephoraceae. RNAcentral also lists the same sequence under 1 other name. The record is from RNAcentral.
ACACCUCAACUCUCAUGGCUUGCCACGAUGAGCUUGGACUUGGGGGGUUUUGCUGGCCUACAGUCAGCUCCCCUCAAAUGCAUUAGCUUUCCAGCAUUUGGUGGCAUCACAGGUGUGAUAAACAUCUACACGUGUGGUUCCCCACCAUGUAACCUUCAGUGAUGGAGGUUCACUGGAGCUCACAAAUGUCUUUCCUCAGUGAAGACAGUUCUUUGAUU